UACGUAGGUGGCGAGCGUGGUCCGGAUUUACUGGGCGUAAAGGGAGCGUUGGCGGACUUUUAAGUGAGAUGUGAAAUACUCGGGCUCAACUUGAGUGCUGCAUUUCAAACUGGAAGUCUAGAGUGCAGGAGAGGAGAAUGGAAUUCCUAGUGUAGCGGUGAAAUGCGUAGAGAUUAGGAAGAACACCAGUGGCGAAGGCGAUUCUCUGGACUGUAACUGACGCUGAGGCUCGAAAGCGUGGGGAGCAAACAGG
RNAcentral lists this ribosomal RNA (253 nucleotides) under uncultured bacterium. Its description in RNAcentral is "partial 16S ribosomal RNA". It matches the Rfam family "Bacterial small subunit ribosomal RNA", at positions 524 to 776 of the family's 1533-position model. The record is from RNAcentral.